AAGAGGACUGUGAGGGGGACCAGGUAAUAUACCACCGAAGUGUGUUUCUCUGGUUCACUUCUCUCUUUGACGGAACCCCGUCAAAGAGGACUGUGAGGGGGACCAGGUAAUAUACCACCGAAGUGUGUUUCUCUGGUUCACUUCUCUCUUUGACGGAACCCCGUCUCUAGAUAUGGGUACCGA
This 183-nucleotide small RNA is filed under the name synthetic construct. Its description in RNAcentral is "P475b1". The record is from RNAcentral.